CAAGUCCCACCCGGGCAAGGCUGGUCACCACCCGGAAGCGAGUCUUGGACUGUCCAGCGGCGACGUUGGCGGUUAAGCGUAGACAGCGAGUCAGUAGGCCGCGGUGAUAGAGCACCGAAAAGACCCUCUCUGUGGGUGCCGACGUCUUUAAGGCCGCGGAAGGCAACACCAGUAUCCCGAGCGGACCGGGGAUACUGGCCCACCGGUGUCGAAGAGCC
Molecule: non-coding RNA, 218 nt
Filed under: Microbulbifer rhizosphaerae
Lineage: Bacteria; Pseudomonadati; Pseudomonadota; Gammaproteobacteria; Cellvibrionales; Microbulbiferaceae
Source: RNAcentral